AUGGCAUCAUCCUUGAGUCCGUCCUUUACUCUGUAUCCCACAUCCAAUUUAUUGUGCUUAGCAGCCUCGUGGUCUCUGAACCCGAGACCACGGAAGACCCCCAGCGAGGCCGCUAAAAACACAGCAACCACAAGGGCCAAAGGCGCCAAAGCUGGCGUCGGAGUAACUCCUCCAGCGCCGAAACUGAAAGGUCACAGGGAAACAGCAAAAAGAGGGAAGGAGAACACAGGAGUGAAUCUACAAGAAGAGUCCAACAUCAAAAAGAAGAAGAGGUAUGGUUUCCCAGCGCCACCCCUCUCUUCGAGCGAGCGUGGCGAAUGGCAGGUCCCAAGGCCGCAGCUUCCGCCGGCGCCGGUGGUUGGGUCGUCGCUGCCCUUGGUCGUGGGGUCGUUUUUGGCAUCAAGGCCGCAGCACUCAGGAUGAACGUAAUUCAGAUUGUUCGUGACCACUGGGUACAUAUACUUGUGCCCAUGGGAUUUGUCCUUGGAUGUUAUCUAGAUAGAAAGAAUGAUGAAAAGCUGACUGCCUUCCGGAACAAGAGUUUGUUGUUUAAAAGGGAAUUGAGACCCAAUGAAGAAGUCACCUGGAAGUAAAGGCCCCCAUGAUUGAAUUACAGAAUGUUCAUAUUUUAAAAAUUAGGAGAGAAAUAACACAUUCGUUAGUUA
Molecule: RNA transcript, 665 nt
Organism: Odobenus rosmarus divergens (Pacific walrus)
Lineage: Eukaryota; Metazoa; Chordata; Mammalia; Carnivora; Odobenidae
Gene: NDUFB1
Exons: 5
Source: RefSeq, a predicted model, not a curated record